CCUGUUGAUGCUGAUCCUGUGGACUGUGGACUGAAGCUGCCUUGGAGAACAAGCUCUGGUUCUAACUGGUUGAACCCCACAGGAACAAGGUCAUUUCUGCUCUGGACUGAGGAACCUUGUAGUUUUGGUUUCCGUCCUGGAGAUUCACAAGGAGGAAGUGGGAGAGGCGGGACCAUCAUAAUGAACCAAUCAGAGCCCACCUCACCCCACCCGGCCGCCCUCCUAGCCAAUCGCCUUGUGCAAUAUAACGUUAUACUUUGUGAAAGAUUACCAAAACCCUUUUUUUUUUUUUUUUUUGGGCAGAGAAUGUCUCUCUGUCUCUCUCUCUUUGUCUCUCUGUCUCUCUGUCUCUCUAUCUCUCUCUCGCUCUCUCUCUCUCUCUCUCUCUCUCAAACAAACCCUUUAUACAUUUAAAACGGGCAGGUUUGCAAACAAAAAGGGAUAAUUUACGUUUCCAUUUCUUAUGUUUACAAUUAUAAGUAAGAUUCGCUGUGCCAUUAUUUGUUCCGAAUGAUUCCGAAUGAUAGUAGUACAAAUUAGUUAUUUUGUAAUUCACUACCAAUUAUGAUAUACAUACUUGUAUGAUAUGCUCUAUACAAAUACAUUUCAAAAUCAGAUCACAUUUCCAACCAAAUAGAAAGUAUUUUGCCUUUUAAGAAGUAAACUUUACUAUUAAAUCUCUAUUUCAUUAGAUUGUUGAAUGGAAAAGGAAAUAGGUUUCCAGAAUGUAUUUUAGUGUUAAAAUCCAAUGCUAUGGAACUAAUUGACGACCCAAAUGUGACUGAAAAAGAAAUUAAUUCGUAUUUCAAAUGAUAAUUACAUGUUUUCCUUGGCAACCAGAGGCACACUUAUUUAGGAAAAGUAUUACGAUUUGUUUCGGUUGAAUAUACGUGAGCUAUCGUGCGAAAAGUAGCAACAGAACGCCACAUUGGUUUGCGUUGCAGAGGGCUCCCUCCAUAGGUGAAACAGUGCUACUGCAUGUAGAACCGGGCUGAUUGGGUGCUGAUUAAGCGCUGAUGCGACACACCUGGGGUCCGCUUAUUGAACCUGAAAGGAAGUUCAGCCCUGAACUCCUCCAAUGAGAUAAAAACCUUAAAAGGAAGAAUCAAGGCGUUUGAUUCUACUUUCUGUUUCACCGUUUUUCCUGAAUAACAGUUAGGUACCGGAUGCUUUCAGGACUUGGUCCCAGGUAUGCAGUUUUGACCAACGGCAGCUGGCUCUACCGCCCCACUGAGAGGCACUCUGAAAGAAGACCCGAGGGCGUGAAACGUUGAAACGUGGGUCUGCUCCCUACAGUCCAGUCCGGGCAGAGUGGAGCCCGGGCGAAGAUUAUGAGGAUGAAGACCACAACAGCGUCCCCCCCCCCACACCAUAGCCUCGGCGGUCAUAUCAUCUCCACGGUUAGAUGACGUUUUCAAACAGAUGCAUCGACCGCAUGAUGUUAUCGUCCUGCGGGAUGAAAUAACAGCCGUCCUUGUUGAUGUCGUACAGGUUGAAGGCCCAGUUGAGCUUCUCCGUGAUGGUUCCCCUCAGGAGGAUCGAGAGGCCCAUGACGAAAUCCUGACGUUUGAAACAAGAUUCACAGUUUGGGUAACGGUUUCAAAAUGCUUUCGAAAAUAUGUAUUUUUUUUAAGCACAUUUUUUGUAAAACUGGAAAAGAAAGAAUGUCAAAGGAUUUUAUAUGCUAGAAAUAUUAUCACUAGAAUUCUAAAGGGUAGGAUUAAUUUGAAACAAUUAUUUAAAGGCGACGAGACAUUAAUUAAAAAAACUAUCUGAAAAUGUAAGUGAAACACGCUCAACCGAAAAACAACAAUAAUAUCAUAUUGUUAAUAUCGAUUGUUUUUAAUCAAAUCGCCACUAAUAAUAAAUAUAAUCCCAGUAAACCCAGGGGUUGGGGGGGGGGGGGGGGUGGCUUAGAAUAGGACCGAACUGACACACAACACUACACAACAAUCAGAACUACACAUCAAUCAGAGAGACGAGGAACCACUGAGAGGCUUCUCUGUACUAAUAAGCAAGAUUAUACCUUCAUGAAUAUUAAUCGCAUGCUAAUAGCCAUCGCAAACUGGCUGGUUUUAAUUAAAAUGAGUCAUGUUGUGGGCUUAUCUAACGCCCUGGGGAGGUCUGCAACACUAUCCGCGGGUAUCCUCGAAGCAAACUUUUUUCGUUGGAUGAGUUUUUAUCCGUUACAUUGCAGCCUGGGGUCAUUUCAUUUCACAACUGUCAGAACCUGAGGCUCAGACCAACAAAUAAUGAAGCGCUUUCUGUUUCAGAGCAGCCAAGCAAGCAAACACAUUAGGGGCCGUCAAUCUGCUUCAAGCGUCCAUUUGAUGUGCAUGUGUUGUUCAUCAUGGUUUAAUCAUAUUGGAAACUCCCAUUUAUGCAUGUUAAAUACUAGGCACAGUUGAAUAAAGAUUGGCUUCAACAGAACUUGGAUGUUCUAGUAAGAAUGUUUUAAAAAAAAAUACACAGUUUAAGCAUGAUCCUAUAAUAGUACUACAAACAGUACUUGGCAUCUUUUAGCAACUCAACCUAGCCAUCUUUGUUGUUUACGGGGAAUUACAGGUUCCUAGAAACAAGUGCUUGGCACUUGUUUCUAUGAACAUGCUUACUGUACCUAUCUUCUGACCCUAAAUGUAAAUUAUCCAAAACCAUACAAAAGGUUGUACAUCCUUUAAGGAUUGGACGUGUUCUUCCAUUACGGCCACUCAAAUCUCACCUCAAAACUCACAGAUCCAUUGUGGUCCGUGUCGAAGGCGUUGAACAGAAAAUGUGCAUAUGUCGAGGCGUCUGGGGAGAGAGGCAUGGACAAGAACACAACCUGGUUACACAAUUGCACGAAACAAAAGUAUUUUCACAUUCUUAUUUAUUUUAGCAAAAAAUAUUUCAGAAUAUAUAUUUUUUUGUUUAUUGAUAUUUACUUUCAACCCACAAUGAAAGUCCUGUUCAGGUUGGUGUUGUGUGAGUAAGAGUAGCCUAGCUGUGUCUCGUUUAAAUAUAAAUGUCAGACAGGUCACCUAUCGCUCGGGAAAGCCCAAGGGAUUGGUGUACGUCAAGUUUGUGGAUAAGGCACAGGCUUCCCCUGUGGUGCAGAAGUCUGACGGCACGAUUGUGAAUGAUUUGAUGUCGACCUCGAUGCCUAGCCAAGCAUAUGGAUCGAGAGGGAGAGGACAUUCCCAGGUCUCAAAGCUGCCAGGCUCUCUACAGCAACCCAGGAAGGGCUGGUGGUGAAGCUGUGAACGGGACUUCUCCAGACAGUUUCGGUUUAGUUUAGGCUACUACUAGAUUGUUGGGCCAGUUUUUGGCUUUAGUGUGUACUCCAGGGUUAGUUUCUAGACUGUUCUUUAGUUUGUAGUUUGUCUUUUCCUGAAAGGAGAAUGGGAGCUUGAUGGCUCUGUUGGAUUGUGUACUGAAGUCCAAGAGUAAAUAUGUUUUGUGAGACACAGUGGUAACAAUAAGUUUAUGCACCCAUGCUAAAGUUUACUAAAAAGAGGAAUAAAAUAAUCAUCUUUUGGAAAUCGAUUGACAAAUGAGGAAAAAUCCAUCCUUUUAGGCCACUUACGAUACAUUAUUCAUUCAUAAAGAAAAUUGGUGGCCUUAAAGGUGGGAUUUUUCCUCAUUUGUUUAAUUAAGGUAUUCCUUUUUGGUAAACUUUAGCAUGGGUGCAUAAAAGUAUUCUUUCCACUGUAUAUGAGAAACGUCAUUGUUAAAGAAAAAAAUGUUGGAAAGGAAUACAUAGGUAUGUAAAAUUUGAAAAAUAAGUAAAAAAUAUACAUGGGUUGGGUGUUUCACCAUUAUGCUGUUUCCUCUAUGGUUUUACGGUAUAGGUUAGCGUGUGCCUGGCUAGGGUCAGUACUGACGUCUUUCUUUUCUUGAUGCUAACAUUAAUUCUAAACAGCAUUUUACGAAGUAGCCUAUAAUAGGAAAUGCUCAAAGGUAAAUCAGCGUAAUUUAACACUUACUGUAGCUGUUUAUGGGUAAAGUAGCAACGGUGAUGGACCGUUCGAAACGCCCUAUCCAUUGUAUGGGUCUGUAAAAUGCUAAUCAAAUCAAAUGUAUUUAUUAAGCACCUUUAUUAAGGCAAGGGGUUGGGGAGAUUUAUGUUUUAUUUAUGUUUUUUACGAGCAUGUCUACGCUUCAAACUCGUGCAGAUUGCAGAACAUAAGAACAUAUGCAACAGCGCCACCUGGGGUCACACUUUUCGGUGGGUCGCAGAAAUCCUCCUGUUCUUAUGUCUAUGUCUAUUCUAACUUCAACUACCAGUUGAACUUGGUCAUUCCCACUCACCCAUUCAUUCGGAAUGACUGUUUGUGCAAAUUAAUCAUUGUGAAUUAAGUCAUGUUGUUGUUACCCCUUAUGAUUUUUUUCAUGACGACCAAUAAAAAAUAACAGCGUUACCCCUUGUGUUUUUUUCCAUGACGACCAAUAAAAAACAACAGUGUUACCCCUCAUGUUUCAUUUGAUAAAAACAACAGUGUUACCCCCUAUGUUUUAUUCGAUACAUUUCGACAGUGUUACCCCUUAUGGAUUUUUCAUGACGACAGAUAAAAAACGACAGUGUUACCCUUUACGUUUCAUUUGAUAAAAACAACAGUGUUACCCCGCAUGUUUUUUCCCAUGAUGACC
This is a long non-coding RNA of Gadus chalcogrammus (walleye pollock), 4626 nucleotides long. RefSeq lists it as uncharacterized. The transcript has 4 exons. The record is from RefSeq and is a predicted model, not a curated record. Lineage: Eukaryota; Metazoa; Chordata; Actinopteri; Gadiformes; Gadidae.